UACGUAGGGUGCAAGCGUUGUCCGGAAUUAUUGGGCGUAAAGGGCUCGUAGGCGGUUUGUCACGUCGGGAGUGAAAACUCGGGGCUUAACCCCGAGCCUGCUUCCGAUACGGGCAGACUAGAGGUAUGCAGGGGAGAACGGAAUUCCUGGUGUAGCGGUGAAAUGCGCAGAUAUCAGGAGGAACACCGGUGGCGAAGGCGGUUCUCUGGGCAUUACCUGACGUGAGGAGCGAAAGUGUGGGGGAGCGAACAGG
This 253-nucleotide ribosomal RNA is filed under the name uncultured bacterium. RNAcentral's name for it is "partial 16S ribosomal RNA". It matches the Rfam family "Bacterial small subunit ribosomal RNA", at positions 524 to 776 of the family's 1533-position model. The record is from RNAcentral.